Molecule: long non-coding RNA, 387 nt
Organism: Pyrus x bretschneideri (Chinese white pear)
Lineage: Eukaryota; Viridiplantae; Streptophyta; Magnoliopsida; Rosales; Rosaceae
Exons: 3
Source: RefSeq, a predicted model, not a curated record
ACAACUGCAGGGUUUCUUGCAGCUGCUGCAAUUAUCAUAGCCUCGGCCGGAGCCGUUGAGUCUCCUGAGCAAUCUGAGAAUCUAGAAAAUAUUCCCCAGACACUAUCUGGGGGUGUGCUUUGCGCAAGGAUUGCAAGAAACCAAGGAUUCAAAGACCAAAGUCGAGAAAGGCAGAGUCUUGCACGAUCAAGUGUGUCACCACCUGCAUUAGAGGUGGUGAUGGCUCGCCUGGUGAAGGUCCCUUCAAUGUCAGGAGGCCUAUAGUUGUUCUCCAGCAAGGAUUUAGAAGCCGGCAAUAUGGUACAUAUUUUUGGUGGAGUGUUCAGAUAUUUGCAAUUUGAUUAAAGAUGGUGAUGACGGGUCUUAAUUAAAUUAAAUUUUUGUAAA